This 253-nucleotide ribosomal RNA is filed under the name uncultured bacterium. Its description in RNAcentral is "partial 16S ribosomal RNA". It matches the Rfam family "Bacterial small subunit ribosomal RNA", at positions 524 to 776 of the family's 1533-position model. The record is from RNAcentral.
UACGGAGGUGGCAAGCGUUGCUCGGAAUCACUGGGCGUAAAGGGCGCGUAGGCGGCUUUGCGUGUCUUUCGUGAAAUCCCUCGGCUCAACUGAGGACGUGCGGAAGAAACUGCAGGGCUGGAGUCCGGGAGAGGAGGGUGGAAUUCCCAGUGUAGCGGUGAAAUGCGUAGAUAUUGGGAGGAACACCGGUGGCGAAGGCGGCCCUCUGGACCGGUACUGACGCUGAUGCGCGAAAGCGUGGGGAGCAAACGGG